UGGGGAAUUUUGGACAAUGGGGGAAACCCUGAUCCAGCCAUCCCGCGUGUGCGAUGAAGGCCUUCGGGUUGUAAAGCACUUUUGGCAGGAAAGAAACGUCGCGGGUUAAUACCCCGCGAAACUGACGGUACCUGCAGAAUAAGCACCGGCUAACUACGUGCCAGCAGCCGCGGUAAUACGUAGGGUGCAAGCGUUAAUCGGAAUUACUGGGCGUAAAGCGUGCGCAGGCGGUUCGGAAAGAAAGAUGUGAAAUCCCAGAGCUUAACUUUGGAACUGCAUUUUUAACUACCGGGCUAGAGUGUGUUCAGAGGGAGGUGGAAUUCCGCGUGUAGCAGUGAAAUGCGUAGAUAUGCGGAGGAACACCGAUGGCGAAGGCAGCCUCCUGGGAUAACACUGACGCUCAUGGCACGAAAGCGUGGGGAGCAAACAGGAUUAGAAUACCCCUGGGUUAGUCCCAACGCCCUAAAACGAUGCUNAACUAGCCUAGUUGGGGCUUUGCGGCCAUUGGUAGGCCGCAGGCUAACGCGUGAAGUUGACCG
RNAcentral lists this ribosomal RNA (539 nucleotides) under uncultured bacterium. Its description in RNAcentral is "partial 16S ribosomal RNA". It matches the Rfam family "Bacterial small subunit ribosomal RNA", at positions 355 to 871 of the family's 1533-position model. The record is from RNAcentral.